AUCCCUGUAGCGCAAUGGAUAGCGCGUUGGACUUCUAAUUCAAAGGUUGAGGGUACGAAUCCCACAUGGGAUG
This is a non-coding RNA of Trichonephila clavipes, 73 nucleotides long. The record is from the annotation of a GenBank genome assembly. NCBI's taxonomy places the organism in Eukaryota, Metazoa, Arthropoda, Arachnida, Araneae, Nephilidae.